Non-coding RNA from Ictidomys tridecemlineatus (thirteen-lined ground squirrel), 69 nucleotides. The record is from Rfam. NCBI's taxonomy places the organism in Eukaryota, Metazoa, Chordata, Mammalia, Rodentia, Sciuridae.
GGGGUUGUGACUCAGUGGUAGAGCACGCACCUUGCAUGUGUGAGGCACAGGGUUCGAACCUCAGCACCA